CAGGAUGAACGCUAGCGGCAGGCUUAACACAUGCAAGUCGAGGGGCAUCGGGAGUAGCAAUACUGCCGGCGACCGGCGCAAGGGUGCGUAACGCGUGAGCAACAUGCCCGUAUCAGGGGGAUAAUCCAUGGAAACGUGGUCUAAUACCCCAUAGUAAUUAUGUAAGGCAUCUUAUAUAAUUUAAAGCUUUGGUGGAUACGGAUUGGCUCGCGUGACAUUAGCUGGAUGGUAAGGUAACGGCUUACCAUGGCUACGAUGUCUAGGGGUUCUGAGAGGAAGGUCCCCCCACACUGGAACUGAGACACAGUCCAGACUCCUACGGGAGGCAGCAGUGAGGAAUAUUGGACAAUGGAUGGAAAUCUGAUCCAGCCAUGCCGCGUGCAAGGAAGACGGCCCUAUGGGUUGUAAACUGCUUUUGUAUGGGAGCAAUAAGGGCUACGUGUAGUCCGAUGAGAGUACCAUACGAAUAAGCACCGGCUAACUCCGUGCCAGCAGCCGC
This 499-nucleotide ribosomal RNA is filed under the name uncultured bacterium. Its description in RNAcentral is "bacterial SSU rRNA". It matches the Rfam family "Bacterial small subunit ribosomal RNA", at positions 25 to 518 of the family's 1533-position model. The record is from RNAcentral.